UCCUGUAUCGAAAGUGAUCAUGGUGUGUGUGUUGCCAGGUCAUUGAUAGUACAGGAACAACAACCUGAGAGCGUUUUCCCGUGUUCGGAGGAUUUUCUGUUCCUUUUGAACCCUGGUGCACUCAGACA
Molecule: small nucleolar RNA, 128 nt
Filed under: Monopterus albus (swamp eel)
Lineage: Eukaryota; Metazoa; Chordata; Actinopteri; Synbranchiformes; Synbranchidae
Description: Small nucleolar RNA SNORA71 (ENSMALG00000012894.1)
Rfam family: Small nucleolar RNA SNORA71
About the family: The members of this family belong to the H/ACA class of snoRNAs which bind a number of proteins (including dyskerin, Gar1p and Nop10p) to form snoRNP complexes. This class of snoRNAs are thought to guide the sites of modification of uridines to pseudouridines by forming direct base pairing interactions with substrate RNAs. This family includes U71 (SNORA71), ACA39 (SNORA39) and ACA60 (SNORA60).
Source: RNAcentral